RNAcentral lists this microRNA precursor (199 nucleotides) under Corchorus capsularis. Its description in RNAcentral is "pre miRNA MIR811". The record is from RNAcentral. Lineage: Eukaryota; Viridiplantae; Streptophyta; Magnoliopsida; Malvales; Malvaceae.
ACAGCUCUGUCAAACAGUGUUGCAUCGCCGUGACACAUGGCUAAAAAUGCCAUGUCAGCAAAAGGAAAAUUUGGUGGUGGGGGCAAAUUAAGAGUAAAAAUUUUUUUUUGCUUAAAUUUUUGAAAAUUUUCCUUUUUAAUCUGACAUGGCAUUUUUUAGCUACGUAUCACGAUGACGUGGCACUGUUUCACAGAGUUGU